This 1521-nucleotide long non-coding RNA is filed under the name Phasianus colchicus (ring-necked pheasant). Its description in RNAcentral is "lncRNA (ENSPCLG00000016244.1)". The record is from RNAcentral. Lineage: Eukaryota; Metazoa; Chordata; Aves; Galliformes; Phasianidae.
GAGCCUUUGGCAUAUUGUAUGUACAGGAAAGGUUCCACAUGACCUCAUCCUGUCCCAGAACUAUUUAACAGGUUGGUUAAUAAUCGGGUUAUUAAUAUAAUAGGUUUUCUCUGUGUAUUUUCAAGGGAUUGGAUGGUUAAUCCGUGACCAUUUUGCAUUCAUGCAUACAACCUGCCAAUAAUGGAUACAGUAAUAUGUCAAAAAGCAUACCUGUUAAGCUUUGCAAAUGAAAAUGCUUUCUGAACUGCACAUACAGGCUAAAAAAGCUAUGAUUUUCACGAGGCUAAACCUCUAAGUCAGCACAAUUGUAUUGCGUUGGGAAUAACUGCAGAUGGAUCCAUCCUCAAUAGAGGGCAGUAGAGGAUGAUAAUGUAACUGUUGAUCUAUUCACUUUGUUGUGUUCAGACCAAUUCUCUAAUAUCAUUUAACGGGCUUUAAAAUGUACCCUUUUAUCUUGAAAAAGGAGGAAGCAAGAACGUCAGCCAUCUGGGAGACACACUGCCAACACCCAGAUGUCAGCAUCCUCCUGCACCAUUUACUCAAUCAACGCAAGAUGAAUUUGUGCUGAGUGGCUGCUCCUCCACUUUGUCUUCGAUCCACCACCUGCCUGUGCCAGAAGACACCCUUCCUGAGCUCAAGCACAAUCACUGUGCUGUAGCUACAGCAAAUACCUUAUUCUUUCUGCUGUUUCCAAUGGAACUGCAAAUCAGACCGCUCAAUGGCUGUUGACACACACUGAGAAGCCUGAUAUCAUGGCACAAGACAAAUGUGCAUUGAAAACUUCCUCAAGGUGGCAGUGAGGGCCCAGAACAAUUGGCCUAAUGUGAUGGCUGUUAAAAUGUGCAACAGUGUUCUUCCCUCAUGACACCACGAGCCAUAUUCCUUGCUGGAAAGACUGGAAUUAGAUGUGAUGGAAAGUUGGGAAUUUCUACCAAACCACUGGAAGAAGCUGAAUGAGGCUCCUUCAAGUACUUCUUCAAGUAGCAAGAAGGAGACAAAUUCCAAUGUCAGUAAAACAUCCAGAGGAAGAAACUGACCUCCCUAGCUCUUCCCAAAGUGUAACUUAAAGUGUCUUUUCUGCAAAUUACAUUGAUUUAUUUUUGUCCUUCUCUUAGUGGCCAUGGAGAACAAAUGGUGACUGUCCUCUUUAAAGCGAUUGUUUACAUAUUGAAAAACUCAUACUUUUCCCUCUAGUCUUUCUUCUAUAGACUAAACAAACUUGGUUCCUUCAACAUUUCCUCAUCACUCAUGUUUUAUAAACCUUUUAUCAUUCCUGUAGCUUUCUUCUGGCCAAUCUCCAAUUUGUAUACAUCCUCAAUUCUGCUGGGCCAUGUUUGGUCAUGGCUGACAAUCUGUCCCAAGGAAAAAUGUCACACUUCUGGCUGAGAUGUUAGAGGUCUGUUUCCAGAUUCUGCAUAUUUCCAUGGUAAGCAUUUUACAUAUCCAUAAGCAUUUCGGCUUCUGUUAGUACCACUAAAUAUAUAAAGUAAAUAAAAACAAAACAAAACCAAAACUAAAUCA